ACAGCCAUAGUUUAUUGGAUGUUUACGUUCCUACAUGGACACCUGCGGUAAUUCUGGAGCUAAUACAUGCACAAGCCGACGACCUUACGGAAGUCGCGCAUUUGUUAGAUCAAACCAAUCGGUCCUCCGGGACCGUAAUUUGAUGACUCUGAACAACUUAGCUGACCGCACAGUCUCGUACUGGCGGCAUAUCUUUCAAGUGUCUGCCUUAUCAACUUUCGUUGGUAGUUUAUACGACUACCAAGGUUGUAACGGGUAACGGAGAAUAAGGGUUCGACUCCGGAGAGGGAGCCUGAGAAACGGCUACCACAUCCAAGGAAGGCAGCAGGCGCGCAAAUUACCCACUCGCAGAACGCGGAGGUAGUGACGAAAAAUAACGAGGUGGCUCUCUAUGAGGUCCAUCAUCGGAAUGGGUACAAUUUAAAUCCUUUAACGAGGAUCUAUUGGAGGGCAAGUCUGGUGCCAGCAGCCGCGGUAAUUCCAGCUCCAAUAGCGUAUACUAAAGUUGUUGCGGUUAAAAAGCUCGUAGUUGGAUCUGCGCUCUGUGAGAGCGGUCGCUCGCUGAGUUGUACUGUCUCUCACGGGCUAACCAUUCGGUUUUCCCUUGAUGCUCUUCAUUGAGUGUCCUGGGUGACCGAAACGUUUACUUUGAAAAAAUUAGAGUGCUCAAAGCAGGCGAUUUGCCCGAAUAUUCGUGCAUGGAAUAAUAAAAGAGGUCCUUGUAGCCUUUUAUUGGUUAUCGCUACGAGGAAAUGAUCGAAGGGGACAGACGGGGGCAUUUGUAUUGCGACGUUAGAGGUGAAAUUCUUGGAUCGUCGCAAGACAAACUACUGCGAAAGCAUUUGCCAAGAAUGUUUUCAUCAAUCAAGAACGAAAGUCUGAGGUUC
This 887-nucleotide ribosomal RNA is filed under the name Trichodorus obtusus. RNAcentral describes it as "SSU rRNA". It matches the Rfam family "Eukaryotic small subunit ribosomal RNA", at positions 106 to 999 of the family's 1831-position model. The record is from RNAcentral. Lineage: Eukaryota; Metazoa; Nematoda; Enoplea; Triplonchida; Trichodoridae.